UUCUCCUUUAAGUUUAGUCCCGUGAGGCUAAGAAGGAAGCGACCAAAAAGAAAUCUUAGGCGUUUUUGUACACUUUUACGAUAUAAUUAGUAGGAUUCGUCUAGGCUUUAAGGGUAUUUUGUAUAUUUUUGUGAACUUCACUCCUACCUUACGCAGGUAGGAGUUUUUUUAU
This is a non-coding RNA of Enterococcus columbae, 172 nucleotides long. NCBI's taxonomy places the organism in Bacteria, Bacillati, Bacillota, Bacilli, Lactobacillales, Enterococcaceae. The record is from Rfam.